Molecule: non-coding RNA, 403 nt
Organism: Peromyscus leucopus (white-footed mouse)
Lineage: Eukaryota; Metazoa; Chordata; Mammalia; Rodentia; Cricetidae
Source: the annotation of a RefSeq genome assembly
GACCGAGGAGACGCACUCAGAGAGGGACAUGUGCCAUAUGCCUCUCCACAGCCUGCUCUGCGUGCUGGUGGCCUUGGCCUUCUCUGGAUCCAAUUUGGGCCAGAAAGUGACUCAAGUCCAGCCAACUGCAAGCACACAGGAGGGGGAAGAGGUCACCCUGGACUGUUCAUAUGAGACAAGUCAAAACUUAUACUAUCUUUUUUGGUACAAGCAGCUUCUUAGUGGAGAGAUGAUUUUUCUUAUUCGACAAAUUUCUUCUUCUACUCGUACUGAGAGGAGCAGCCGCUACUCUGUUGUCUUCCAGAAAUCAACAAAGUCCAUCAGACUUGUCAUUUCAGCCUCACAGCUAGAAGAUUCAGUGAAGUAUUACUGUGCGCUCUGGGAACCCACUCACAGUGUUUGA